This 416-nucleotide ribosomal RNA is filed under the name uncultured bacterium. RNAcentral describes it as "bacterial SSU rRNA". It matches the Rfam family "Bacterial small subunit ribosomal RNA", at positions 360 to 773 of the family's 1533-position model. The record is from RNAcentral.
AAUAUUGGGCAAUGGACGCAAGUCUGACCCAGCCAUGCCGCGUGGAGGAUGAAGGUCCUCUGGAUUGUAAACUUCUUUUAUCUGAGAAGAAAACCAGGAUUUCUAUUCUGGCUGACGGUACCAGAUGAAUAAGCCCCGGCUAACUUCGUGCCAGCAGCCGCGGUAAGACGAAGGGGGCUAGCGUUGUUCGGAAUUACUGGGCGUAAAGCGAGUGUAGGUGGUUGUCCAAGUUGGAUGUGAAAGCCUUGAGCUCAACUCAAGAAAUGCAUUCAGGACUGGAUGGCUAGAGGACCGGAGAGGAUAGUGGAAUUCCCAGUGUAGUGGUGAAAUACGUAGAGAUUGGGAAGAACACCAGUGGCGAAGGCGGCUAUCUGGACGGUUUCUGACACUAAGACUCGAAAGCGUGGGGAGCAAAC